Long non-coding RNA from Jaculus jaculus (lesser Egyptian jerboa), 293 nucleotides. RefSeq lists it as uncharacterized. The transcript has 3 exons. Lineage: Eukaryota; Metazoa; Chordata; Mammalia; Rodentia; Dipodidae. The record is from RefSeq and is a predicted model, not a curated record.
GGCUCGGCGUGCCGCGACCUGCGGGGAUUCCAGGAGGAGGGCGGGGCGUGGCGAUGGCCGAGGAUGCCGGUCGCCCUGGCGUGCCCGCCCGGCCCCAGGACCAGUGCGUCCCGAAAUAGCCGCCGACAGAGUGACACUACCAUAAGAGAAGAGGCAGAAACAUGCAAAAUUGCUACCCCUGAAGAUGGCAGAAAGGGACCACAUACGAAGAAAGGAAGCCUCUAGAAGAUGGAAAAGGGCUGGAGAGAUGGCUUAGCAGUUAAGCGCUUGCCUGUGAAGUCUGAGGACCCUGG